UGUGCAAACCUGGUCAAGAACUACAGGAAACAUAUGAACUCUGUAAUUGCAAACAAACGUUUCUGUACAAAAUAUUAGGUUCUGCUUUUCUGAUAUAUCAAAUACUUAUGACAUGAAACAAAAUGACAAA
This is a long non-coding RNA of Etheostoma spectabile (orangethroat darter), 130 nucleotides long. RefSeq lists it as uncharacterized. The transcript is spliced from 3 exons. The record is from RefSeq and is a predicted model, not a curated record. NCBI's taxonomy places the organism in Eukaryota, Metazoa, Chordata, Actinopteri, Perciformes, Percidae.